Paramuricea clavata is the source of this 7169-nucleotide non-coding RNA. Lineage: Eukaryota; Metazoa; Cnidaria; Anthozoa; Malacalcyonacea; Plexauridae. The record is from the annotation of a GenBank genome assembly.
GUGAUCGACGUUUCCGGAUGUGCAGACUUUCGACGCGACAUCAUUGAAUGCAUUGUCAGAAACGCUUUAUUAAAAAGACCUUAAUUUUGUGUUAUCUUGUUUGAUUUAAGGCAAGUGGAGACACAUUUGGCUUCAAUAUGGUGAAGAAUGAGUACGGUAAAACGACGUGGGGAAAGGCCUUUUUGGAUGCCCUUGGGUAAGUCAAAUAUUUGUGUUGAACCUUGCACGUGUUCUGUGGCUGGAAUUGUCUCCAUAUUUUCCGUCGCGGAAUAUAAAGAACUCUUUGAUUGACUUGGUAUUUAUUUAUGAUAUUUUAAAUCAACUAUACACUGAGCUAUUUCACUAUUUCUAUUGUUAUACCAAUACAGGCAUUAUUUAGUCGCAUUGCAUGUGAAUUCGGCAUAUAAAAAUACAAAGCGACGUUCAGUAAAAGCUUAGCGACAAUCAGUAGCCCUCGAUUUCCGGAUUUGGAAACGAAAUGGUGUAUUCCACUUGCGCACAGCAAAAUUAUUAAAGUAUAGUUAUGUCGUCCUUGGUUUGCCGUUUGUAUGUUACAAAAUACAAUGUAUUGUGUUGCAUUUUAUAUAUCAGGUAUAAAUGUUAAGGUCAAGAGGUCACUGGUACUACAGUAUGUCUGUUGAAACCAAACGGAAAAUUACCCCACUUUGCAUACUAGAUUAGUUGCAAGGCCUUCGGAAGCGUGCCCCUCUGAGCUCUCCCCCAAUAGUUUCCUCCCCCCCCAAUAAUUUAAUUUCCUCCCCAAUAAUUUUUAUUUCCUCCCCACAGGAGCAGGUUACUCCCCAAUAAUUUACUCCCACCCACAUGUUUUCUCCCGUAAUUUUACUCCGCACCCCAAUAAUUUCCUCUCCCAUGAGGAUUUUAUUUCUUUUUGUACUUUAUUUCUUUUUUGCACAGGCAAUUACAACCAACUUAUAUUAUCUGCAACAGUUUGUUGUUAUUGUGUAUAUGUCAACACUUAUGAUUGUGUACAGGGCAAACAUUGUUUCAAAACAAAGGGGAUGAAGUUGUAAAAAGUUAUAAAGUGCAUUGCAAAAUAAUGAAAUUCAAAUUAUAAAAAUUCCUCUCAGGAAACACGGAAAUACUCUUCCAAGGCUUCUGAAACGCAAAUUUUUCUGGGGAGAAUGCCCCCAACCCCCUCUUGGUUUUAUCGAUUAUAUCUUUUAAAGAUUUUGUCACUUUGUAUAAUUUUGUCACUUUGUAUAAUUGAGGAAUUCAAACAAAGAUUUAAAAUAGAAUACACAUGUACAAAUACACAUAAUCAUAUCACAGAGAUGUGAACCCUAAGUACCUAAAUUGCGGGUGAUACCAAUACACUGAAACACUGUAACAACCACAAUGCCAAUAACAACUAGCUUUUGUAGCCAAAAAGAGAAUAUUUCUGUUCUUAUUUGUGUGUGUUGGAGUUAUGUACUCUGACAGGUGAAUAUGAUGUUUGUGAUGUUACUCUAAGUGUGCAUCCACACCGAGCAAGCUGAAAAGUUUGAUUCCCACCGUGGCCAAGCAAACUUUUCAGCUUGCCCGGUGUGGAUGCACACUCAGAGUAACAUCACAAAUAUCAUUUCUGUUCUUGUUUAAACAUGUAAAUGUGAAGUCCUCAAAUGUAUUUAGAGUGAAGUUACAGAAUACAGGGUUAAAUUAAAGUUUUGUAAAAGGGAAUAAAUAAAAGUUUUGCAAUGUUUCGUAAAGUCACAACCGUUCAGUCGAAACUAAACAAAAGAAACGUGUAUCUUUGGUUCUACCACAGAAUAGAGAAUACAUUCUCUACUUUGAGAUCAUGUUUUAAGUGCAUUAGGCUACAUAGUUCAGCAUAGCCUACUCCUACAAAAUCUCCUACGGAGAAUUAUCAUCUGAUUAUGCGUGCAUGUGAAUUUAAUUUAAUUUAAGUGCCAUUUUUUACGCGGGUGAUGUUUCCGAAAUGUGGGUGUCACCCGCUCAAUUCGGGUGAGUUCACAUAUUUGUAUCAGCUACUAUACAUGGAAUCAAAACAAAAUCAUGGAAAUAGAUCAAUAUUAGUACUGGUAACAAAAUGAACAUUUUAAACUCUGUUAGAAUUUUGAAGACUCGAACAUUUGACAUGCUCAUCAGUUAGAUUCCAAAGGUUUGGACCUUGAAAUCUGACAUUAAAAAUUCCAUAAUUUGUUCUAAUUUGAGGAGAAUAUAAUGAGACUGUCUUGCUGCUAAUCUUGUAUUAUAGCUGUGAAUGAAAAAUAUUAUGAAAUACAGUACUGGUGGUAUAAAAGCUGAUGGUAAAAUUGAUGCAUGAAAAGUGUAAUAUUUUGAGUAACCAGAUCAAGGAUCUUAAUUAUAUUGAGUGAUUUGAAUAAUGGAUCCUUCCAGAAAAGAUCCACACUUCCCCCAUGGAGGAAAUUUCUGCCUUCUGGAGGGGGAGGGAAAAAAUUUGUUUCUGAUAAUAGUAAGUGUAUCGGGAUGUCUGAAUAGGGUAAGAGUUACAAUCACGUGCAAAAAUAAUGAGACUUUACGUAUUUCAAACAUUUUUUUUUCAUUUUGACACAUCCACACUCAUAUAAUUCGAUCUUUUCUUACUAUUUCCCCCCAUUGACAAUGUUGGGUGAAUGUUUUCUGCCAACACUAUGGUUUGGUAUCAUGGAAACAACAUUGUUUUGGGGGAAGUGGGGGGUCUCAAUAAUUUUUGCUCUUGAUUGUAGGUUAGCCUAGUUUUUGAGGGAAGACUUGCUGGCGGGAGAAUGGUGCCUGUUCACGCCCGCCCUUUUCUCCAUCUGUCUGCCCUUCUCCUGCCCUAAUUUUCCUGCCCACAACUCCUCCCCCAAAAAACAUGGCUGCUAUAUGCAGGCUAGUAGCAAGUUAACUUCCAAUUUCCUCUGUGUUGCCAACAAAUGAACAAAAGGCUGUCAUACAUAUGUUGGCAACCUAUAAAAUUUGGCAACCUCCAAAUUUUUACUUCAUACUUAUUACUCCAUACUAAUUAUUAGGUCCAGAAUCUGAAUCUUGCAUGUGAUUGGCUGUUUGUAAAAACAUGUCAAAUUAGAGGUACAUACCUCCGCAAGUGAAUUAAGUUAUGUAUCAUGCAUAAAUUAUACAAUGGGCGAGUUACAGUGCAUCUUUUCAUAUUCUUCCAAUUCCAAACCAUCAAACAGCAUCUCUAUCUCCUUCAUUGCACUUCAUAAUACCCCGGUAACCAUGAUGUACUGUAUUUAUCUCGAGGACGAACUGAAAAGCCUUAGGGUUAAUUAUUUUUUAUGUGGUUAAAUAUAUUUAAGGAAGGUUAACGGCGGAUGUAUUAUGCAUGCUGCAUCCGCUGAGGGGAGUCUGUGACGUCAUAUCGAUCAAAGGGGGUUGUUUCGCGCCUUGUGAUCAUUGCUUUGGUCUGGGUAGUCAUUCUGCCAUUGUAUGCUUUGCCUAGUUGCAGCAAGUUUAGCGCCUCGUUACUUUUUCCCCACCCACCCACCCAUGAUAUUCUAGAGGAUUUUAUCUGGUAGUCUUUCGGUAUUUUUUUUUUGGGGGGGGGGGGUGUUGUUUCGUGUUGUUUUUUUGUUGUUUUUUUUGUGGGUUUUUUUUAAUCUCACAGGAAUAGGAUGUAUAGACAACUAUACAUUGUAUUUCGUUUCCACUGACUUGUCAGUGUGACUGACAAUAUUACUGAUUGUUGCUCUCGUUGCUGCGCAGCUUCUAUGGCAAUACUUCUUGCCAUCAAGGCUAGUUGCGGCCUUGGACCACAAACGGCACCUACCUCCAAACACUAAUACUCUGCCGUUAAUCUCAUAAAGCAGCUAACUCUCUGUGACAGAGGUUUGGUCUUACCGACGGAAGAUCACAUAGAUCAUUUGCAAUAUUAUUUGAUCGUUCUGCUCUUCACAGGGUGCAAUAAUUCAAGAUUUUUACUCCUACCUGAAUGGAACUCCAAUGAUUAUUGCCUCGUACUUGCGCUAGUAGAAACUCAAUACUUGAUGUUUACUUAGACUUAGUCUUUGAAAUAAAGGGCAUAUAAUACAGGUUUCUGACAAGUAUACUAAAACUACGAGUUAGAACAAGAAGCGCAAUUGCAUAUACAAACAAUCGAGUGUCAUCAGUCCAAUCAUGUUUUAUGCCAAGACAUCUAUGACAUGUUAUACUGUACCUACUAAUGGUGCCAGCAAAAAGUAAGUAUGCAGAUAGCAACAGUUCCGCGUACCUACAUACGUGGUACCUGGCUGAAAACAUCAAGUACCUGACCAUAAUAUUGAGCAAGUGCAUGAAUUAUCGGACUCUGCUUCCUAGGACAGUAAACGUAUGUCUCGCUAUUCUACUGUAUCUCAUUACUUAAGACAGUCAUGCAACACUGGUCACAAUCUCAGUUUCACAAUGUACCAGUGAAUAACUCGAAUUCUUGCUAAUAAGGUAUCGAAUUUCUCACACACCCGAAUGCUAGCUAAAACACUGCUUCUCAAUUUUCCAUAUGUUUCUAAUGUUAUAUAUAGAAACAAGGUAUGGGUCACAAAAACUUUUGCUUGGUUUUAGCCCAUGAUCCUUCUCGUGCAGAGGUUCAGCUUCCUGUCCAUAGCUGCUGGUAUUAAUAGUGGGUUCAUGGGCGUACCGGAAGGAAAAAAUUAGGGGGGCGGAAAGAAAUUUGCCCGACGUUUUCGGAUUGUGCCCGACCAGUGACGGAAAAAUUUUUUCGGAAAAAUUUAGGGGUCCAAAAUUUUUUCGGACAUACCAGAAUUUUUCGGAACAUCAUACAAAUUUUCUAGACAUCACAAAAUUGACCACGAAAUUGACAGAAUUUCCCACAAAAUUGACAGAAUUUCUCCCAUUUAUUUUUAUAAUAAGCCAAUAUUGACCGACUGUGGAGCGAAUAUUGCCCGACUGGGUGGGUUUGCUUACAUCAUAAAAGGUUAGUGUCAUUGGGCGAAUGAGCUUGCUUGAUAUCAAUAUAUGCUUUAUCUUGUGUUGUUGUAACGUUCUUAUAUUUAUUUAUAAAUAUUCAUGCAAGCUUUUCUUUCUUGCUGUGACACUCCUAUCAAUAUCUAUAUUCGUAUCCAUGCUCUCUUCCUAGUCACAUGCUUGAACAUAUGGACAUAUAUGGUUAUGUCCUGAAUAACUAUGUUAUGUGAUUAACAAAUAGAUAAGAUUUUGCCGUUGUCUGUGGUUUUCACAAAAGGUGGCCCACUCGCCUCGGCGGCAUGACGUCAUACUGUGUAUCUAUAACUGUAUAUACCUAUGACGUCAUACUGUGUAUCUAUAACUGAACAGACAACGACAAAAUCUUAUCUAUUUGUUUUAUAUAAUAAAAAGGAAACCCCCGAAUUUAAACAGGUUUUAUCCACCCAAGCAUUUGGAAAUUUGAAAAUAUCGAAAUUUUACAAAUAUCAUGGCGUACAAUGGCGUACAUGAUCAAUACAAAUAAGGGAAUGCUAUUGGAUAAGGUUUUGUGACAUUUGUGUGACGUAAUUCCGUGCGUCUUUCCUCUAAUAGAUCAUGGUUCUUGACCAAUGAAAGCGCUUGAAUUCUUAACGUUAUUAUAUAAAAUACUAUAUACUAGAUCACUAUAGUUCCCAAAAAGCAUUGGCCAUCUUUCUUCAACUAAACAAGUCGUUGAUUGAUGUCAUGAUCAUUCCUCAAAAAUCUGUCGUAGAUACUGGGCGUUUGUAGAAACAGACAUUUCAACUAUCGCCUUCACUUUUGCUUGGUCUGCAUGUACACCAUCUUUACUGAACUUACGGCCAACUUUUAUGAAGGUUGCGGUUAAUUUGUUGUACUUUUAGCUUAUAAAGGUAGUCAUAUCCAAACAUAAGAUGUAGAUACGUGAACACUAUGGCACUGCUAAAUAGUGUUGCUACAUUGUAUCGUUCCCGCCGAUAUCACUGUUCAGACGUCAAAGAUCCGCACAUAUUCUUAGUGCUCCGUUACCUUUGGGGCUUCAGUCAGUUUGAUAAUUCGGGAUUCGUUCAUGAUAGCUUCUGCAUAACAUGAUCCAGCCAGAUUUGAUAGUUUCAUCAAUUACAGAGAAUAACAUCAAUUUCAUGUAAAAUGUAUUAGAGCUAGCUAUGCCGUCAAAAUUAGCUCGAAAUUGCGUACGAGUGACCCAGGCAAAGUUUGCUUAAGCAUUUAUUGAAUAAAAUCAUUUAUUGAAGUGUAAGAACGAGGACCGGUUGUUCGAAAGGCGGUUAGCUUAAUCCUCCAGUAGGUUAGUAGUACAAAACAAUUACAGCAAAUUUCCCACAGUUUGUUUAUACACUUAGAAUAUUUCUCCAGAAAUCUUAUCUGGAUCAAUAAAAGUUCUAUUUUCUGAAUUUUUAAAACAAACCGAUCUGAAGAAAUGUGCAAACCAAAACAGCGGGUUAAAUUUUAACCUAGGGUUAGCGCUAAUUGUGCUUUGAACAACUGGCCGCAGUACUAUUACUCGCUUGACCAUUGCUAUCAAUUAAUUAUUGCUCUAAAAUGUAGUAAUUGUAGGAAUAAAAUAUUCGGUACCUGCUUAUCUAGCUUCAUUUUGGUCAAGUAUUCUAUAGUAUUUAUUUCCUAUUAUAUGUAAUAGCAUUUAAAGUUCUCCAACAGUCUGUAUUAGGAUAGCCACAUGUACGCAGUGCGUACCUAUUUUUAUUAUAUUCAUUUUGAAAUCUGUGGUGUUUCGUGCAAUCUAAGUUGUCAAAAAUAGUGAGAUUAAUUCCCAAAUCGCAUUCCUUUAAUGGCAUCAUCUUGAACUUAAAUUGCAUCUUUAUUCUUUUCAACCAAUCAUAUUUACAGUCAAACCGGAUGUUAUCUUGCGAGCAACAUUGCAAUAUUACCCCACAAUAUUGUAUGCAGUUUUGAUAAGCAGAUUGCUCUGAGCAAUUUGCAAGUGACGCGAACAAAUUCCAAGUUGAAAUUCACAAACGAUUUGUACACAAAGCCUCUGAUUGGACUAUUAUGACAAAAAGGAAGCCAAUCAAAUAUAGUAAGGAUGCCACCUCAGAUGUGGUACUUACAGACUGUACACUGUACUAUUAUUAAAACUAGAACUCUUAUAACUCUACGGACUGUGAUUUAUCGCCUGCAGGGCCGGGCAGGCUAUUGAACUACUGUAUAAUAUAACAAAAUGAAAAUUUUAAUUUUUGUAGACGUCUGGAUACAAAUGCAAGACUAGGUCGUGGUAAGAGUUACGCUAACACUGGGAAAGUGUUGACGAUCAAUGCAAAUGGACCACAGGUAAC